This 297-nucleotide long non-coding RNA is filed under the name Rattus norvegicus (Norway rat). RNAcentral's name for it is "long non-coding RNA NONRATT002785". Lineage: Eukaryota; Metazoa; Chordata; Mammalia; Rodentia; Muridae. The record is from RNAcentral.
GCCAUGGCAACAGCUUCGGAGGAGAGGACUUGAAAGCUCAAGGCUCCCACUUACUCUCCACAGACCCGCGCCUGAGCUCCCCACUUCCCAGGAGGCGGCGCCCACGCAGAGCCACCUGUGUCAUUCCUCCUAUCUGGCUCCCCCGGGGAUCCAGAAACAACCAACCAACCCAGGAAAUAGCAAACCCUCCUAGGAUCUCUGGCUUCAAACUCAUGGCAGCAAACUCCGCAGUCCAGAGCAUUUGCUGGCCGGAAAGAAUGGAGAAUUUCUUAUUAAAAUCUGGGCUUUUCUCUUCCA